This 505-nucleotide ribosomal RNA is filed under the name uncultured bacterium. RNAcentral's name for it is "partial 16S ribosomal RNA". It matches the Rfam family "Bacterial small subunit ribosomal RNA", at positions 28 to 507 of the family's 1533-position model. The record is from RNAcentral.
GACGAACGCUGGCGGCGUGCCUAAUACAUGCAAGUAGAACGCACAGUUUAUACCGUAGCUUGCUACACCAUAAACUGUGAGUUGCGAACGGGUGAGUAACGCGUAGGUAACCUGCCUGGUAGCGGGGGAUAACUAUUGGAAACGAUAGCUAAUACCGCAUAAUAUUGAUUAUUGCAUGAUAAUUGAUUGAAAGAUGCUAUUGCAUCACUACCAGAUGGACCUGCGUUGUAUUAGCUAGUAGGUGAGGUAACGGCUCACCUAGGCGACGAUACAUAGCCGACCUGAGAGGGUGAUCGGCCACACUGGGACUGAGACACGGCCCAGACUCCUACGGGAGGCAGCAGUAGGGAAUCUUCGGCAAUGGGCGAAAGUCUGACCGAGCAACGCCGCGUGAGUGAAGAAGGUUUUCGGAUCGUAAAGCUCUGUUGUAAGAGAAGAACGGGUGUGAGAGUGGAAAGUUCACACUGUGACGGUAUCUUACCAGAAAGGGACGGCUAACUACGUG